RNAcentral lists this long non-coding RNA (281 nucleotides) under Lathyrus oleraceus (garden pea). RNAcentral's name for it is "Pisum sativum (pea) long non-coding RNA (PSAT_LNC028862)". Lineage: Eukaryota; Viridiplantae; Streptophyta; Magnoliopsida; Fabales; Fabaceae. The record is from RNAcentral.
AUUAAAAAAUAGCAAAUGAUAAAAUAAAAAAUAUUAAAAAUCAUUUUUAGAAACUAGAAAUUAAAAGAGAAAUAAUGCAAUUGGUCCCAUAUUUUUUGGACCAAUAAUAAAAGAGAUAUGGAUUUUUGAAAAUGAGAUGUAAAUAAAAAAAGAAAUAGAAAAUAAAAUCAGAAUUUAAAAAUGGAAAAAACACGAGCCCUUGGAUCUGAGCUUAUUAUUUGAGCUGGCAGAUCCAAGGAUCCACAAGCGUGCGCCUAAUAUAGUCCACAGUCAAUGCAACC